Small RNA from Candidatus Magnetoglobus multicellularis str. Araruama, 47 nucleotides. It matches the Rfam family "Acido-Lenti-1 RNA". Lineage: Bacteria; Pseudomonadati; Thermodesulfobacteriota; Desulfobacteria; Desulfobacterales; Desulfobacteraceae. The record is from Rfam.
CCUGGGGUUUAAACCCCAGGCUAUUCUCUGUCGUCCCUAUCGGGACU